Molecule: ribosomal RNA, 430 nt
Filed under: uncultured bacterium
Lineage: Bacteria
Description: bacterial SSU rRNA
Rfam family: Bacterial small subunit ribosomal RNA
Source: RNAcentral
GUUUGAUCCUGGCUCAGAGCGAACGCUGGCGGCGUGCUUAACACAUGCAAGUCGAGUGCGCAGUCUGCUGUAGCAAUACAGCAGGCCGGCGCACGGCGCACGGGUGCGUAACACGUGGGUAACCUGCCCUCCAAAGGGGGAUAACCCCGCGAAAGCGGGGCUAAUACCGCAUGAUAUUCCAGAUUCUUCGGAGUUCGGAUUCAAAGCCCGCAAGGGCGUUGGGGGAGGGGCCCGCGGCCGAUUAGCUUGUUGGCGAGGUAACGGCUCACCAAGGCAAUGAUCGGUAGCCGGUCUGAGAGGAUGGCCGGCCACACUGGAACUGAGACACGGUCCAGACUCCUACGGGAGGCAGCAGUGGGGAAUCUUGCGCAAUGGGCGAAAGCCUGACGCAGCGACGCCGCGUGGGGGAUGAAGCUUCUCGGAGUGUAAA